Molecule: ribosomal RNA, 106 nt
Filed under: uncultured archaeon
Lineage: Archaea
Description: partial 16S ribosomal RNA
Rfam family: Archaeal small subunit ribosomal RNA
Source: RNAcentral
CCCUACGGGGUGCACCAGGCGCGAAACCUCCGCAAUGCACGCAAGUGCGACGGGGGAACCCCAAGUGCCACUCUUAACGGGGUGGCUUUCAGAAGUGUAAAAAGCU